UAAAGUGGGAUUAGAUACCCCACUAUGCUUAGCCCUAAACAUAAAUAUUCAAUUAACAAGAAUAUUCGCCAGAGAACUACUAGCCACUGCUUAAAACUCAAAGGACUUGGCGGUGCUUUAUACCCCUCUAGAGGAGCCUGUUCUAUAAUCGAUAAACCCCGUUAAACCUCACCACUCUUUGCAACAUCAGCCUAUAUACCGCCAUCUUCAGCAAACCCUAAUAAGGCACCAUAGUAAGCACAAUAAUCUUACAUAAAAACGUUAGGUCAAGGUGUAGCCCAUAGAGUGGGAAGAAAUGGGCUACAUUUUCUAACGCUCUAGAAUAUUUCACGAUAGCUGCUAUGAAAUAUGAUCAGCUCAAGGCGGAUUUAGUAGUAAGUCGGGAAUAGAGUGCCCAGCUGAAUCGGGCAAUAAAGCACGCACACACCG
This 429-nucleotide ribosomal RNA is filed under the name Sciurus carolinensis (gray squirrel). RNAcentral describes it as "partial 12S ribosomal RNA". It matches the Rfam family "Bacterial small subunit ribosomal RNA", at positions 768 to 1392 of the family's 1533-position model. Lineage: Eukaryota; Metazoa; Chordata; Mammalia; Rodentia; Sciuridae. The record is from RNAcentral.